CAUAGCUCAGUGGUAGAGCACUUGCCUAGCAUGUGUGAAGCCCUGGGUUCAAUCCCCAGUG
Molecule: transfer RNA, 61 nt
Filed under: Urocitellus parryii (Arctic ground squirrel)
Lineage: Eukaryota; Metazoa; Chordata; Mammalia; Rodentia; Sciuridae
Also listed under: 1 other name
Description: Spermophilus parryii (Arctic ground squirrel) tRNA
Rfam family: tRNA
About the family: Transfer RNA (tRNA) molecules are approximately 80 nucleotides in length. Their secondary structure includes four short double-helical elements and three loops (D, anti-codon, and T loops).
Source: Rfam by way of RNAcentral